GUUUGAUCCUGGCUCAGAACGAACGCUGGCGGCGUGGAUAAGACAUGCAAGUCGAACGGAAUUUACUUAGCUUGCUUUGUAAGUUUAGUGGCGAACGGGUGAGUAACACGUGAGCAACCUGCCCAGAAGCGGGGGAUAGCUCGAGGAAACUCGAAUUAAUACCGCAUAUGAUCCUGUGUAGCAUUGCACAGAGAUUAAAGGUGCCUUCGGGUGCCACUUCUGGAUGGGCUCGCGGCCUAUCAGCUUGUUGGUGAGGUAACGGCUCACCAAGGCGACGACGGGUAGCUGGUCUGAGAGGAUGAUCAGUCACACUGGAACUGAGACACGGUCCAGACACCUACGGGUGGCAGCAGUCGAGAAUCAUUCGCAAUGGGGGAAACCCUGACGGUGCGACGCCGCGUGGAGGAUGACGGUCUUCGGAUUGUAAACUCCUGUCAUCGAAGAGUAAGGCUGUUAUAUAAAUAGUAUGACAGAUUGAUAGUAUUCGAAGAGGAAGGGACGGCUAACUUCGUGCCAGCAGCCGCGGUAAUA
RNAcentral lists this ribosomal RNA (531 nucleotides) under uncultured Verrucomicrobiae bacterium. Its description in RNAcentral is "bacterial SSU rRNA". It matches the Rfam family "Bacterial small subunit ribosomal RNA", at positions 11 to 525 of the family's 1533-position model. Lineage: Bacteria; Pseudomonadati; Verrucomicrobiota; Verrucomicrobiia. The record is from RNAcentral.